GAACCACAUCGUCAUGGAGAUUGAUCUUGAUCACUACCGGGACUGGUUCAGCAGCCAGCUGGCAGCCACCUGCAAUGUGGAGCAGUCCUUCUUCAACGACUGGUUCAGCGGGCACCUCAACUUCCAGAUCGAGCACCACCUCUUCCCCACCAUGCCCGGCACAACCUGCACAAGAUCGCCCCACUAGUGAAGU
Peromyscus leucopus (white-footed mouse) is the source of this 193-nucleotide long non-coding RNA. RefSeq lists it as uncharacterized. NCBI's taxonomy places the organism in Eukaryota, Metazoa, Chordata, Mammalia, Rodentia, Cricetidae. The transcript is spliced from 3 exons. The record is from RefSeq and is a predicted model, not a curated record.